Molecule: RNase P RNA, 350 nt
Filed under: Aequorivita marisscotiae
Lineage: Bacteria; Pseudomonadati; Bacteroidota; Flavobacteriia; Flavobacteriales; Flavobacteriaceae
Also listed under: 1 other name
Description: Aequorivita sp. Ant34-E75 RNase P RNA component class A
Rfam family: Bacterial RNase P class A
About the family: Ribonuclease P (RNase P) is a ubiquitous endoribonuclease, found in archaea, bacteria and eukarya as well as chloroplasts and mitochondria. Its best characterised activity is the generation of mature 5'-ends of tRNAs by cleaving the 5'-leader elements of precursor-tRNAs.
Source: RNAcentral
CGCGCAGGCCGCCUUAUCGCCGAGAUCCUCGCUUUUGCGGGGGUGUGGGAGGAAAGUCCGGACACCAAAGGGAAGCAUAGCGGCUAACAGCCGUCGGGAACUCUGCUUUUGCUGAGUUUUCAGGACAAGUGCAGCAGAAAGGAUGUACAGGUAAUGCUGUAGUGAAAUCAGGUAAACUCUAUGCGGUGAAAUGCCACGUAAACCUGCGCUCCGAUAUUAAUCGGGAAAGGGUGCCCGCCCAAUGCAGGAGGGUAGGCAGAUUGAGCGUGUGGGUAACUGCACGUCUAGAUAAAUGAUAAGGCCCCAAUGCAUAUUGGGGACAGAACCCGGCUUAUAGGCCUGCUUUUUUU